RNA transcript from Haliaeetus leucocephalus (bald eagle), 2287 nucleotides. It is a transcript of the gene named RAB, member of RAS oncogene family-like 3, with no coding region annotated. The transcript has 9 exons. Lineage: Eukaryota; Metazoa; Chordata; Aves; Accipitriformes; Accipitridae. The record is from RefSeq and is a predicted model, not a curated record.
UUGGCGGCGCCGGGAGAAGGAGGUGGUCUCCGGGGUUGUUGCUAGGUAGAGUAAGAUGGCGGCUUUGGACAGGGUCAAGGUGCUGGUGUUGGGCGACUCCGGUGUCGGAAAGUCUUCGCUUGUUCACCUCCUGUGCCAAAACCAGGUGUUGGGAAACCCGUCCUGGACAGUGGGCUGCUCCGUGGAUGUUCGAAUCCAUGACUACAAAGAAGGGACUCCAGAAGAGAAGACCUACUACAUUGAACUGUGGGAUGUUGGAGGUUCAGUGGGUAGUGCCACUAGUGUGAAAAGCACACGAGCGGUAUUUUAUAACUUGCUGAAUGGGAUAAUUUUAGUGCAUGACUUAACCAACAAGAAAUCGUCCCAGAAUUUGUAUCGCUGGUCUUUGGAAGCACUCAACAGAGAUGUCGCUCCAACAGGAGUUCUUGUGACAAAUGGUGACUAUGACCGUGAACAGUUUGCUGAUAACCAGAUUCCACUGCUGGUAAUAGGAACUAAGCUGGAUCAGAUCCCAGAAGCUAAGCGGAAUGAAGUUUUGACCAGAACAGCUUUCUUGGCUGAGGAUUUCAAUGCUGAAGAGAUAAAUUUGGAUUGCACCAAUCCUCGUUACCUGGCUGCAGGUUCAUCCAAUGCUGUCAAACUAAGCAGGUUUUUUGAUAAGGUCAUAGAGAAGAGAUACUUCUUAAGAGAUGGCAAUCAGAUUCCUGGCUUCUCUGAAAGGAAAAGGUUUGGAGGAGGAACACUGAAGAGCCUUCAUUAUGAUUGAACACUGACAAAGUGGAAGAUGACUCCUCUGAGUUCCUAAUGACAUUCCCAUUCUGACUGGAUGCUUAAAGACAACAAUGCUUACAUCAAGCAGAGUAAAAUGAUAUUACAGCCAGCUUGUUCUGCUGUGGCUUACGUGGGCUUGACGGGCUGUCCUACCCUUGAUGAAUAAAAGGUCAGAUCACAAAAUUCAGUGAUAGUCCAAAAUUAGCACCCUCUUUAGCUGUUGUACCAGAGUGGGGAAGGGCAGAACAGGGCAAGGUGACUAAAUUUUGUCCUGACUCCUAGGAGUGGUUCUUCUAGCCUGAAGGCAGAAGCCUCACAGCAAGGUGAGCAGGUGGCUUCUCCAGCCUCUAUUCAUGCAGCAUCUGUUUUUUGGCAACAAGGAGUGUGUGCACUCCGCUGAAGAUAACUUUUUAUGAUCUUUCCUGCACAAAUAAAUGAUAAUAAUUAACCUGUCUGGCAUCUGCUGCUGAAUGGUCCCAGAAAAAUGACAAGGACAUAUUUCAUAAGAGCCACUCUACAAAAAAGUACAUGUUAUUAAAAAGAGCCUUUUUUGCCGCAAAGCUGUUGGCAGUGAUAAAAAAGUAUAAAAAUUAUUGCUUUAUUUUCUCAUAUUAUGAUAAAAGGUUCAAAAAAGAGAUUAAAUCCCCUGGUACUAAGUAGUACACUAGCAGAUAAACAGACGGCUGCUCUAGAGAGCUCCUGGCCCAUUUGGCAGUGCAUAAAGGGUUAACAAACAGAAAAGGCAUGCAAUUUGGGGAAGCUGAGAUCACAGAGACAGGAGUGAAUGAAUACAUUAAUAAAUAUGUACAUCAAUGAAUGCAUUUUAGCUGGACAAAGAUAGGCAGGAGGAGAGAUUGGUCCUUUUAGAAAUGAGAUACAUCACUGUGAAAAGCAACAGUCCAUUGCAAUGGCACGUCCACAGCCGCAUCAGAAAGGAUCUGUCUCUCUUGGUUGCCUCUUACAUAUGCUGCGUGCGGGACAGAAGAGCUUUACUUUUGGGACUGGACAACCACUCGCUACAAGAAGUUAUGGUAAGCCGUGAUCCAGUGAUUGUACUCAUUGCAGCAGCACUGCGAUGGACAAGCUAUGGUCCAUUCUGGGAAGCGCUGUGCUAAGCAUUGAGUAGGAAUUUAUGAAGGUGUCAGCCCUGCUCUGGAAAGUGUAUACCCUAAUACACAAAUAUUAACGUAAAGGGAUAGGGAAGAAUAUACAGCCUUGCCGCUGCCACAUGGCAUGAAAUAUACAUUGCGUAGGAAAAUGCUAACGGAGAGCAUGGGGAAGCGAAGGGACUACUGUCCUGUGUCUCUCCCUUCCUUUUGUCCCAGGGACCCAGGUCAUUCACCCACCCAGUGCCCCACUGCCUGAACUUGCAAGUGAUUUUAGGAGGAAACAAAAGGACUUUUAAUGCAUGUGCUAUGAAUUUGAAUUAUUUGUCUAUUGGAUCAAAUAUAAGCUGCCUCAUCUUCUAUUUGAAAGGCUUUUUCCAUUCUCCUCCUCAUCUUUCAUUCACCACUCA